RNAcentral lists this transfer RNA (96 nucleotides) under Lucilia cuprina (Australian sheep blowfly). RNAcentral describes it as "tRNA-Tyr for anticodon GUA". It matches the Rfam family "tRNA". Rfam says of the family: Transfer RNA (tRNA) molecules are approximately 80 nucleotides in length. Lineage: Eukaryota; Metazoa; Arthropoda; Insecta; Diptera; Calliphoridae. The record is from Rfam by way of RNAcentral.
CCUUCGAUAGCUCAGUUGGUAGAGCGGUGGACUGUAGAAGUUUAAUUCAACAUUGUAGAAAUCCAUAGGUCACUGGUUCAAAUCCGGUUCGAAGGA